UCCAGGUACAGCCAGCCGAUCGAUGGAGCGGAGAAGACGGGAAGUCAUGGAUGGCCAAGCAAGCCAAAGGCAUGUGAAGUUGCUCACUUCCCGAGAGAACCCCUCCUCUUCAAGAUUUCGAGCCAGCCCCCAACCCUUCCCUUCCCCGUCUCUCUAUCCCCUAUCGCAGCUCCUCUUCUUUAAAGCAUGGACCAGCGGCAGCUCUCUCAUCACAGCCACGGGUAGAUAGAUAUCUAGAGGAGCAGAAAGAAGAGGAGCCUUUUCGUCUUAUUUAUUCCCUCGCAAAAAAUCGUCUGCCCAUGCUCCUGCAUCUUCUUUUGAUUUUUGUUUGGAUCGUCUCUUGUCUGCCUCAAUUCACAUCACAACCACGGGUAGAUAGAUGUCUAGAGUAGCUGCUAGCAUUGUUUAUAUCUUUCCUUGCGUUGGUGCUGUUCUUGCUUUUCUUCCUGGUGUUUGCUGCGUGCUUGAGGAGAAGAUGUUGUGGAGGUGGAGCUCCUUUCGGUCCAAAAAGGGGUGUUGCUGUGGGCGGAUUGAGCUGCUGGGUCAUGGAUCCCGUUAGCCUAUUCCAUGGCUCGAUUUGAGAUCUGGGAGAGAGGAUGACAGAGAAAGGGAGGUUAUCAGCUGUUGUUUGGGAUAGGCUUAUGGCUUGCAUGCCCCAGGAGCUGCAUCAGCCAUAUAUGAACCCUCUUUGGAUUGAAGGGAGCUCUGCAUCUUUCGUCACUCUCCUUUUUUCAGCUUUUCCUUUUCCUUUCCUUGAUGGUUUUCGAAAGAUUUUCCCUUGGUUUCAGCCUUCACUGAUAAUAUAUAGCAUGUUUGUUGUUUGUAUGCUCAUGAUGAUUUUGCAAGUGGUGAAGUAAUAUUCUUGCAGGCAUGGAUGGUCCUUCUAGGUACACACCGUCAUCAGCAUCUAGCUUUCCCUUGCCGGAAAAAAGAGGUUCUCUUGUCAUGCUUAUCCUUCCGCAUUUGGAUGCCCCUUCCCAAAUGCUCUGGACCUCCUAGAUUCUUGCUGCUUGGCGAAUCUGAAUGCUAUAUGCAGCAUAUUUAAAGUGGUGAAGAAUCGAAGGGCGGCAAUGGUGAUUGUACCUGAUCCUUGCCUUCAGUGGACUUGUUGAUCUUGCAAUUUUGUUGAAAGUGCAACGGAAGAUGCAUGUUUGCUACUGGUAGCGCUUGAGAGAAACAAACCAGAAGCUUUCUCAUGUCUAUGUAGAAGUGUACUUUACUAGCAUAAUUCUUGUACCACGGCCUUUUUAUGGGACAUUUCAAUUAUUUGUAAUUGUUGCUCCCAGUCAUCCCACUUGUUGUAUAACAAAUGAUUCUGCGCUUUGUACUUUCCACAAAGGAUAAAAAUUAAAUGGCAUCUGAACCUUUUUGUUUCA
Molecule: long non-coding RNA, 1376 nt
Organism: Phragmites australis (common reed)
Lineage: Eukaryota; Viridiplantae; Streptophyta; Magnoliopsida; Poales; Poaceae
Exons: 2
Source: RefSeq, a predicted model, not a curated record